UUAAUUGAAGCCAAAUAGCGGCUUAUCACUGUUAAUGAUAGAACUGAGGGUUACCUCCGAUUAAG
Molecule: transfer RNA, 65 nt
Filed under: Bactrocera sp. 'yunnanensis'
Lineage: Eukaryota; Metazoa; Arthropoda; Insecta; Diptera; Tephritidae
Description: tRNA-Asn
Source: RNAcentral